RNAcentral lists this long non-coding RNA (906 nucleotides) under Phoenix dactylifera (date palm). Its description in RNAcentral is "long non-coding RNA (PDAC_LNC004125)". The record is from RNAcentral. Lineage: Eukaryota; Viridiplantae; Streptophyta; Magnoliopsida; Arecales; Arecaceae.
UAAUCUAAGGUGGCAGCACAUCGCAUCUUCCCUAAGCAUGGACUAUCUUAUAUUUACUUAGUGAUCAUGAAGAACAGUUGUAUAAACUUCACAUUUAAAAUCACAGAAAUUAAGCAUGAAAUAAAAGAAGAUAUUCAUUAAAAACAAUAAGUUCAUACAACCCCAAGAAUAUAAAUAAAAAAUAAAUAAAUACAAAUUUCUUAUCCUUUUGUUAGGGCUGCAUCCAGCCCUAAAGAAGAGCUUAAGCUUCCAUGCAGUGAUGGACGGCAGCAGUAGCACAGCAGCAGGCUCCCAUUUCUAUCACGAUCGGCUUCCUCUGCCUCAGCACUUCAUUUUUUUUCUUUCUUUUGAGAAGGCAUUCCCAAAAAAACCCAAACUCUUCUCUCUCCUGUUAUUUCAUCUUCUUCCGUGGGAAUUUCACCUGUGAACCCGAGCUCUUCUUCUCCCGGUGGGGACUUAGCCUCUAAGGAGAUUGUGAAGAUAUGUGGAACCCCUCCCGGUGGUGAAUGAAUGCCUUAGUCUUCACGUCUGACUCCUUAAAUAGACUGCCCACUUCUCUUUCCUCCCCUCUUUCGAAUCAAGGAUAAGGAUGCAGAGGAUGAUGUGGAUGCUGGAACGGUGCUCACGGUUGAGGAUGGAUGUGAUCCGAAAUAUUGGUGAUGUGGCUUCAACGCAGAGGCGACGCGGCUGAAUAUCUUGGACGCUGAAACGUGGACGUGAGAGGAUCUCGGAAGUUGGGAUACCUGGGAGCGCAUGGAAUUAGCGGAAGAAAGUGAUCCAUGGGAAGCUUCAUCACGAACAUUGAAAGGAUUUUGGUUCUAUUCAGAAGGAGGGGAUAAGGAUGACUUUGAUUUUCAGUUGGCUGGGAUUAAUCUAGAAGACGGCUGGGAGAUUGCUGGGUUCGAN